CCUACGGGGGGCAGCAGUAGGGAAUUUUCGUCAAUGGGCGCAAGCCUGAACGAGCAAUGCCGCGUGAACGAGGAAGGUCUUCGGAUCGUAAAGUUCUGUUGAAGGGGAAAAAGAGCGGAGAGAGGAAAUGGUCUCCGAUUGAUAUUACCCUUCGAGGAAGUCACGGCUAACUACGUGCCAGCAGCCGCGGUAAUACGUAGGUGGCGAGCGUUAUCCGGAUUUACUGGGUGUAAAGGGCGUGUAGGCGGGCCUGCAAGUCAGAAGUGAAAUCUGGGGGCUUAACCCCUAAACUGCUUUUGAAACUG
This 305-nucleotide ribosomal RNA is filed under the name uncultured bacterium. RNAcentral describes it as "bacterial SSU rRNA". It matches the Rfam family "Bacterial small subunit ribosomal RNA", at positions 338 to 635 of the family's 1533-position model. The record is from RNAcentral.